AGGCCCUCAAUAAGUAUUUGUUGAAAGAAUAAAUAAACCAAGAAGUCUUAUUUGAGCACCUGUUAUG
Molecule: microRNA precursor, 67 nt
Filed under: Dipodomys ordii (Ord's kangaroo rat)
Lineage: Eukaryota; Metazoa; Chordata; Mammalia; Rodentia; Heteromyidae
Description: mir-1264 microRNA precursor family
Rfam family: mir-1264 microRNA precursor family
Source: Rfam by way of RNAcentral